UUAGGACUCAAUCUCAGGUGGAAAAGUG
RNAcentral lists this non-coding RNA (28 nucleotides) under Cricetulus griseus (Chinese hamster). Lineage: Eukaryota; Metazoa; Chordata; Mammalia; Rodentia; Cricetidae. The record is from RNAcentral.